This 437-nucleotide ribosomal RNA is filed under the name Yersinia mollaretii. RNAcentral describes it as "bacterial SSU rRNA". It matches the Rfam family "Bacterial small subunit ribosomal RNA", at positions 36 to 466 of the family's 1533-position model. The record is from RNAcentral. Lineage: Bacteria; Pseudomonadati; Pseudomonadota; Gammaproteobacteria; Enterobacterales; Yersiniaceae.
CUGGCGGCAGGCCUAACACAUGCAAGUCGAGCGGCAGCGGAAAGUAGCUUGCUACUUUGCCGGCGAGCGGCGGACGGGUGAGUAAUGUCUGGGAAACUGCCUGAUGGAGGGGGAUAACUACUGGAAACGGUAGCUAAUACCGCAUGACCUCGCAAGAGCAAAGUGGGGGACCUUCGGGCCUCACGCCAUCGGAUGUGCCCAGAUGGGAUUAGCUAGUAGGUGAGGUAAUGGCUCACCUAGGCGACGAUCCCUAGCUGGUCUGAGAGGAUGACCAGCCACACUGGAACUGAGACACGGUCCAGACUCCUACGGGAGGCAGCAGUGGGGAAUAUUGCACAAUGGGCGCAAGCCUGAUGCAGCCAUGCCGCGUGUGUGAAGAAGGCCUUCGGGUUGUAAAGCACUUUCAGCGAGGAGGAAGGCAGUCGUGUUAAUAGCAC